Molecule: ribosomal RNA, 158 nt
Filed under: Fusarium sp. IBL 03152
Lineage: Eukaryota; Fungi; Ascomycota; Sordariomycetes; Hypocreales; Nectriaceae
Description: 5.8S ribosomal RNA
Rfam family: 5.8S ribosomal RNA (bases 1-133)
About the family: 5.8S ribosomal RNA (5.8S rRNA) is a component of the large subunit of the eukaryotic ribosome. It is transcribed by RNA polymerase I as part of the 45S precursor that also contains 18S and 28S rRNA. Functionally, it is thought that 5.8S rRNA may be involved in ribosome translocation.
Source: RNAcentral
UGGUUCUGGCAUCGAUGAAGAACGCAGCAAAAUGCGAUAAGUAAUGUGAAUUGCAGAAUUCAGUGAAUCAUCGAAUCUUUGAACGCACAUUGCGCCCGCCAGUAUUCUGGCGGGCAUGCCUGUUCGAGCGUCAUUUCAACCCUCAAGCACAGCUUGGU